RNAcentral lists this ribosomal RNA (811 nucleotides) under Streptomyces collinus. RNAcentral describes it as "bacterial SSU rRNA". It matches the Rfam family "Bacterial small subunit ribosomal RNA", at positions 54 to 882 of the family's 1533-position model. Lineage: Bacteria; Bacillati; Actinomycetota; Actinomycetes; Kitasatosporales; Streptomycetaceae. The record is from RNAcentral.
CAUGCAGUCGAACGAUGAACCACUUCGGUGGGGAUUAGUGGCGAACGGGUGAGUAACACGUGGGCAAUCUGCCCUGCACUCUGGGACAAGCCCUGGAAACGGGGUCUAAUACCGGAUACUGACCCUCGCAGGCAUCUGCGAGGUUCGAAAGCUCCGGCGGUGCAGGAUGAGCCCGCGGCCUAUCAGCUUGUUGGUGAGGUAAUGGCUCACCAAGGCGACGACGGGUAGCCGGCCUGAGAGGGCGACCGGCCACACUGGGACUGAGACACGGCCCAGACUCCUACGGGAGGCAGCAGUGGGGAAUAUUGCACAAUGGGCGAAAGCCUGAUGCAGCGACGCCGCGUGAGGGAUGACGGCCUUCGGGUUGUAAACCUCUUUCAGCAGGGAAGAAGCGAAAGUGACGGUACCUGCAGAAGAAGCGCCGGCUAACUACGUGCCAGCAGCCGCGGUAAUACGUAGGGCGCAAGCGUUGUCCGGAAUUAUUGGGCGUAAAGAGCUCGUAGGCGGCUUGUCGCGUCGGUUGUGAAAGCCCGGGGCUUAACCCCGGGUCUGCAGUCGAUACGGGCAGGCUAGAGUUCGGUAGGGGAGAUCGGAAUUCCUGGUGUAGCGGUGAAAUGCGCAGAUAUCACGAGGAACACCGGUGGCGAAAGCGGAUCUCUGGGCCGAUACUGACGCUGAGGAGCGAAAGCGUGGGGAGCGAACAGGAUUAGAUACCCUGGUAGUCCACGCCGUAACGGUGGGCACUAGUGUGGGCAACAUUCCACGUUGUCCGUGCCGCAGCUAACGCAUUAAGUGCCCGCCUGGGGGAGUA